GGGGAUAUGGCUCAGUUGGUAGAGUGCUUGCUUCACAUGCACAAGGCCCUGGGUUUGAUUCCCAGUACCACAA
RNAcentral lists this transfer RNA (73 nucleotides) under Ictidomys tridecemlineatus (thirteen-lined ground squirrel). RNAcentral describes it as "Spermophilus tridecemlineatus (thirteen-lined ground squirrel) tRNA". It matches the Rfam family "tRNA". Rfam says of the family: Transfer RNA (tRNA) molecules are approximately 80 nucleotides in length. Their secondary structure includes four short double-helical elements and three loops (D, anti-codon, and T loops). Further hydrogen bonds mediate the characteristic L-shaped molecular structure. tRNAs have two regions of fundamental functional importance: the anti-codon, which is responsible for specific mRNA codon recognition, and the 3' end, to which the tRNAs corresponding amino acid is attached (by aminoacyl-tRNA synthetases). tRNAs cope with the degeneracy of the genetic code in two manners: having more than one tRNA (with a specific anti-codon) for a particular amino acid; and 'wobble' base-pairing, i.e. permitting non-standard base-pairing at the 3rd anti-codon position. Lineage: Eukaryota; Metazoa; Chordata; Mammalia; Rodentia; Sciuridae. The record is from Rfam by way of RNAcentral.